This 253-nucleotide ribosomal RNA is filed under the name uncultured bacterium. RNAcentral describes it as "partial 16S ribosomal RNA". It matches the Rfam family "Bacterial small subunit ribosomal RNA", at positions 524 to 776 of the family's 1533-position model. The record is from RNAcentral.
UACGAAGGAAGCUAGCGUUGUUCGGAAUUACUGGGCGUAAAGGGCGCGUAGGCGGUUUAGUAAGUCAGAUGUGAAAGCCCCGGGCUUAACCUGGGAACAGCAUUUGAUACUGCUAGACUUGAGAUCGAAAGAGGAGAGUGGAAUUGCGAGUGUAGAGGUGAAAUUCGUAGAUAUUCGCUGGAACACCAGUGGCGAAGGCGACUCUCUGGUUCGAUACUGACGGUAAGGCGCGAAAGCGUGGGGAGCAAACAGG